AUGGCAGAAGUGGCGUUGGCUCUGGCUGGAGCACGGGCUGGCUUACAGUUGGUGGUAUCACCGAUCUUGAAGAAGCUCCUAGCUGACCCUGCAAGGUGCCUUGGUGUGGACAUGGUGAGUGAGCUCCAUGAACUGGAGACCAACAUCAUGCCACAGUUCGCUCUACUGGUGGAGGCGGCUAACAAGAGCCCUCACAGGCCAAUGUUGAACAACUGGAUCCAGCAGCUCAAAGACGCCUUCUGUAAAGCUGAGGACCUGCUAGAUGAGCAUGAGUACAACAUCCUCAAGCGCAAAGCAAAGAAGGGGAAGGAUUCUUUGAUAGAACAUGCAUCUUCCAGUAAUGCUAUUAUGAUGCAUGUGCAUACUGUGUCGAGCAAGCUGUCCAAUCUGCGCCCAAAGAACAAACGGCUGCUUCACCAGUUGAAGGAACUGAAGGCCAUCCUUGCGAAAGCCAAGGGCUUCCGUGAACUGCUUUGUUUAACUGCUGGGACCUCCGCAAUGCCAGCAGCUGUUAUUCGAGUGGCCACAUCAAUAGCACCUCCCAAAGUGAUUGGCCGUGACAAGGACCGCGAUGAUAUUAUAGGUCUUCUUACCAAGCCGAUUUCUGUUGAGUCUGAUACAAGUAGGUUUUCUGGUCUAGCCAUUGUUGGACUUGGAGGCAUGGGAAAAUCCACCUUGGCGCAAUAUGUUUACAGUGAUGAGAGGGUAAAAGAACAUUUUCAGUUUAGGAUGUGGGUUUGCAUCUCGCGCAAACUUGAUGUUUUUGGCCAUACACGAUUGAUUAUUGAAUCAGCAAAAGGAGGGCAAUGCCCUCCUGUUGAUAAUCUUGAUACUCUCCAAUGCAUAUUGAGGGACAUACUGGAAAAAUCAAAGAGGUUCCUGCUUGUGUUGGAUGAUGUCUGGUUCGAAAAGAACAACAAUGAGGACUGGGAGCAACUAUUGGCUCCUCUAGUUUCUCGACACACAGGAAGCAAAGUUUUGGUAACUUCUCGAUCCGAGACACUUCCAACUGCUCUUUACUGUAAGGAAAUUAUUAUUUUGAAAGAAAUGGAAAACACCGAUAUCUUAGCACUCUUGAAGGAACAUGCCUUUUCUGGUGCAGCAAUUGGAGACCAGAGGUUGCAUGAGCAGCUAGAAACGAUUGCAGAGAAGCUUGCUAAAAGACUUGGAAGAUCUCCUCUGGCAGCAAAAACUGUGGGUUCACAACUAAGCAGGAAAAAGGAUAAGGCAGCAUGGGAAGAUGCUCUAAGGAUUGACAACUUAAGUGAUCCCAGUAGAGCACUUUUGUGGAGUUACGAGAAGUUAGAUCCAAGUCUGCAGAGGUGUUUCCUAUAUUGCAGCUUAUAUGCAAAAGGAAACGGCUUUAUCAUGGAGGAGUUGGUCCGCAUGUGGGUAGGACAGGGACUUUUUGAUUCGUGCAAUGUGAACAAGAGAAUUGCGGAUAUUGGGAGGGACUGCUUUGAUGAGAUGCUCUCAGUUUCUUUCUUUCAACCAGCUUAUAGAGGUGGUAGAAUUAUGGACUGGUAUGUUAUGCAUGAUCUCGUUCAUGAUUUGGCAGAGUCAUUGUCUAAAGAAGUCUGCUUCAGAUUAGAAGAUGAUAAGAUGGCAAUGUUGCCACACACUGGUCGACAUCUAUCUGUUUCUGUUAAGAGUUUGAAGCAACAUCAGCACUCUAUCUGCAGGCUACAUCAUUUACGUAGCUUUGUCUGCAUUGAACCACUUAUAGAUGAUGCAAGAGAUAUUUUCCAGCAGGUGCUGCAGAAUUUGAAGAAGUUACGUGUACUUAUUCUGGCAUUCUAUAACAGCAGCAACCUGCCUGAAUCUAUUGGUGAACUGAAGCACCUUCGGUACUUGAACCUCGAAAGAACUUCGAUCUCUGAAUUGCCUGGAUCAUUGUGUGCUCUUUACCACUUGCAAUUACUUCAUUUCAGUCCAAAGGUUGAAACUUUUCCUGAAAAAAUAUUCAGUUUAAGUAAGUUGAGAUAUCUUCAAGGACUUGGCCAAAUCCCUUACAUAGGCAAGUUAAUUUCACUCCGCAAUCUCGAACAAUUUUGCGUGAAAAAACAAAGGGGCUAUGAGCUGCAACAACUGAAAGAAAUGAACAACCUUGGUGGCAGUUUAAGGGUCACAAAUCUUGAGAAUGUUGCUGGGAAGGAUCAAGCCUUAGAAGCAAAGCUACAUCAUAAGAAUCAUCUCGAUAGAUUGCACCUUGAAUGGAGUGAAGAAAAUGACAUGACUGCUCCUGAUAGUUUACAUUUGGAAACCCUGGAAGGUCUGGUACCACCACCGCAAAUAAGGAGCCUUACCAUCAAAGGUUACCGAUAUGCAAAAUACCCAGGCUGGUUACUCAGGGAUUCUUAUUUCCAGAAUUUGGAAUCACUUGCACUUGUUAAUUGCAGUGCCUUAGAAAUCCUACCAUCGAAUGCCGCUCUCUUUGGGAAUUGCUCCUCACUUCGCCUCGAGAAUGUCCCAUACCUGAAGACAUUACCUUCUCUUCCAGCUAGCCUUGAAGAGUUAGUGAUUGAGAAAUGCAUAUUGCUUAUGUUUAUUUCUAGCUAUGAGCUAAAACAAUAUGACCAAAGGGAGAACACCAUGAUGACAUACAACCUGAAGUCACGGCUUUCUUCCACCUGGGAGGUGGAUUCGGGACCAGAAAUCAAGAAAAUACUGUUGUCAGAACAUUCAUCUCUGAAGCGCUUGAUGAAAUUGAUGGAUGUUGAUAUUUCUCAUCUUCAAACCAUUGGAAGUGCUCUAGAAAGAGAGGGGAGUGAAGUAUUGGUGAAAGAGGAUAUCAUCAACGCAUGGAUAUGUUGCCAUGUGGAGAGGAUAAGACUCAUAUGUAAAAGGAACAUCAGCCUACAACUGGUUCCACCAUCAGGGCUUUGUCGGCUUGACCUUUAUUCAUGUGUCGUUACAGAUGAAGCAUUAGCGGUUUGCCUUGUUGGUCUCACUGCAUUAAGAAAACUGUCAUUGAAAGAGAUUAUGACUUUGACUACACUUCCGUCACAGGACGUUCUCCAACAGUUGACAAAGCUUGAUAACUUGUGCAUCGACUCGUGCUGGUGCCUUAGAUCGUUAGGGGGGCUGCGAGCUAUUACCACUCUUUCAGGAUUUUCUUUAUGGAGCUGCCCUUCUGUAGAGUUGACACAUGGAUCAGAUUUUAUGCCAUUGUCCCUUGAGAUGCUCAGCAUAAGAUACUCCGUGGUUGCAGAAGAUUUCUUUAGGGGUGACUUGCCACACCUGAAACAUCUUGACAUGAGUUGGUGCAGAAGCUCUUCAUCAUUGUCGAUUGGUCAUUUAACCUCCCUGGUAGAAUUAUCACUACGAAAUUUACAGGACCUGUGCUUUCUUGAAGGGUUGUCUUCGCUGAAACUUGGCAGUGCACAUUUUGGAGAUCUCCCGAAUCUUAGUAUGAAGUGCAUCUCACAGUUGCAACUCGGUGCUCUUUAUGUUAGCAGCUCUUUAAUACUCAACCAUGUGCUCUCAGCUGAAGGUCUUACAGUUCCAGGAUAUCUCGCCCUUGAAGAUUGCAAGGAGCGAUCAUUUUCAUUCAAAGAAUCAGCAGAUUUCUCAUCUGUCGACUGCCUGUCAUUUUUUAAUUGUGAAAUCAGUUCCUUGCCAGAUUUGAAGUGCUUUUCAUGUCUGAGGAGACUCCAAAUUGUUGGAUGUCCCAAUAUAUCAGCUUUACCUGAUAUGCCAUCCUCCCUCUACCACAUAGCCGUGGGGAAAUGUAAACUCUUGAAGAAGAGCUGCCAAUCACCUGAUGGAGAAAGCUGGCCAAAGAUUGAGCAUGUCCGCUCAAAAGCUAUCUGGUAA
Molecule: ribosomal RNA, 3816 nt
Filed under: Triticum aestivum (bread wheat)
Lineage: Eukaryota; Viridiplantae; Streptophyta; Magnoliopsida; Poales; Poaceae
Description: partial small subunit ribosomal RNA
Source: RNAcentral